RNAcentral lists this ribosomal RNA (253 nucleotides) under uncultured bacterium. Its description in RNAcentral is "partial 16S ribosomal RNA". It matches the Rfam family "Bacterial small subunit ribosomal RNA", at positions 524 to 776 of the family's 1533-position model. The record is from RNAcentral.
UACGGAGGGUGCGAGCGUUGUCCGGAAUCACUGGGCGUAAAGGGUGCGCAGGCGGCCGUGUGUGUGAGGCGUGAAAGCCCGGGGCUUAACCCCGGAAUUGCACCUCAAACUACAUGGCUAGAGCAUUGGAGAGGGUAGCAGAAUUCAUGGUGUAGCAGUGAAAUGCGUAGAUAUCAUGAGGAAUACCAGAGGCGAAGGCGGCUACCUGGACAAUUGCUGACGCUCAGGCACGAAAGCGUGGGGAGCAAAAGGG